GACGAACGCUGGCGGUGUGCUUAACACAUGCAAGUCGAACGGAAAGGCCCUUUCGGGGGUCCACGAGCGGCGGACGGGGGCGUAACACGAACGUAACCUUCCCUCAUCUCUGGGAUAACAGUCGGAAACGGUUGCUAAUACUGGUAAUGAGCUUGCUAGUCAUCUUGUGGGUUGGAAAGAUUUUUUUGGUUGGGGGUGGACUCGCGGCCUAUCAGCUUGUUGGUGAGGUAGUGGGUCACCAAGGCUUCGACGGGUAGCCGGCCUGGGAGGGCGACCGGCCAUAUUGGGACUGAGGGGCGGCCCAAGCUCCUACGGGAGGCAGCAGUGGGGAAUAUUGCACGAUGGACGGAAGGCUGAUGCAGCAGGGCCGCGGGCGGGAUGACGGCCUUCGGGUUGUAAACCGCAUUCAAUUGUGACGAAGCAUUUUGUGACGGUAGCAGUAGAAGAAGCACCGGCUAACUACGUG
Molecule: ribosomal RNA, 466 nt
Filed under: uncultured bacterium
Lineage: Bacteria
Description: partial 16S ribosomal RNA
Rfam family: Bacterial small subunit ribosomal RNA
Source: RNAcentral